GAUGAAGAACGCAGCGAAAUGCGAUAAGUAAUGUGAAUUGCAGAAUUCCGUGAAUCAUCGAAUCUUUGAACGCACAUUGCGCCCUCCGGUAUUCCGGGGGGCAUGCCUGUCCGAGCGUCAUUUGCAACCCUCAAGCCCGGCUUGUGUGAUGGGUGCCGUCCCCUACGGGACGCGCCCCGAAGGCAAUGGCGGCGUCGCGGUUAUCCGAUCAGCCAAAGUGUAUGGGGCUUUGUCACUCACUUUACGGCCCGGACCGGCGCCAGUCCGAAUCAAUCUUUUUUCUAAAGUUGACCUCGGAUCAGGUAGGGAUACCCGCUGAACUUAAGCAUAUCAAUAAGCGGAGGA
RNAcentral lists this unclassified non-coding RNA (345 nucleotides) under soil metagenome. Its description in RNAcentral is "partial contains 5.8S ribosomal RNA, internal transcribed spacer 2, and large subunit ribosomal RNA". The stretch from base 1 to 120 matches the Rfam family "5.8S ribosomal RNA", at positions 35 to 154 of the family's 154-position model. The record is from RNAcentral.